AUUGAACGCUGGCGGAAUGCUUUACACAUGCAAGUCGAACGGUAGAGGGGGCAACCCCUCGAGAGUGGCGAACGGGUGAGUAAUAUAUCGGAACGUGCCCAGUCGUGGGGGAUAACGUAGCGAAAGUUACGCUAACACCGCAUACGAUCUAAGGAUGAAAGCGGGGGAUCGCAAGACCUCGCGCGAUUGGAGCGGCCGAUAUCAGAUUAGGUAGUUGGUGGGGUAAAGGCUCACCAAGCCAACGAUCUGUAGCUGGUCUGAGAGGACGACCAGCCACACUGGAACUGAGACCCGGUCCAGACUCCUACGGGAGUCAGCAGUGGGGAAUUUUGGACAAUGGACGCAAGUCUGAUCCAGCCAUUCCGCGCGCAGGAUGGAGGCCCUCGGGUUGUAAACUGCUUUUGUACGGAACGAAAAGGUCUCUCUUAAUACGGGGGACUCAUGACGGUACCGUAAGAAUAAGCACCGGCUAACUACGUGCCAGCCGCCGCAGUAA
This 496-nucleotide ribosomal RNA is filed under the name uncultured bacterium. Its description in RNAcentral is "partial 16S ribosomal RNA". It matches the Rfam family "Bacterial small subunit ribosomal RNA", at positions 30 to 523 of the family's 1533-position model. The record is from RNAcentral.